Molecule: ribosomal RNA, 316 nt
Filed under: uncultured Planctomycetota bacterium
Lineage: Bacteria; Pseudomonadati; Planctomycetota
Description: bacterial SSU rRNA
Rfam family: Bacterial small subunit ribosomal RNA
Source: RNAcentral
ACACUGCCCAGACACCUACGGGUGGCUGCAGUCGAGAAUCUUGCACAAUGGGCGAAAGCCUGACGCAGCGACGUCGCGUGAGCGAUGAAGGUCUUCGGAUCGUAAAGCUCUGUCUUUGGGGAAGAAAUUUUGAGCGACCCAAGGAGGAAGCCCCGGCUAAACUCGUGCCAGCCGCCGCGGUAAUACGAGUGGGGCAGACGUUAUUCGGAAUCACUGGGCUUAAAGGGUGCGUAGGCGGCGAUGAAGGUCUGAUGUGAAAUACCACGGCUCAACCGUGGAAUGGCAUUGGAAACCACAUUGCUGGAGUGAGACAGAG